This is a long non-coding RNA of Drosophila miranda, 288 nucleotides long. RefSeq lists it as uncharacterized. The record is from RefSeq and is a predicted model, not a curated record. NCBI's taxonomy places the organism in Eukaryota, Metazoa, Arthropoda, Insecta, Diptera, Drosophilidae. The transcript is spliced from 2 exons.
AUCCUCACGGAAUAGCCGUUCUUCGAUGACCCCUUUUGACCUUUUACGAAAACGCGCGAGCUAGCAUUGAGUCCAUUUUGUUCUUUUAUCUAAACUUCAACAUUAUUUCCUUAACACAAAAAUUAAAUCCGAUAUGGCAACAUAGUAAAUGAUCUUAAUAACUACUAAAAAUAGGUGAUUCGUAAUGGUUGGGUAUAUAAGGAUAUUGUAAUUCGAGUUAAAUUCUAAUUAAAUUCAUAAAUUUCGCUUUUCGCAUAACAUGGGAAAAUCAUUGAAUACUUUAAGUUC